This 626-nucleotide ribosomal RNA is filed under the name uncultured Verrucomicrobiota bacterium. RNAcentral describes it as "bacterial SSU rRNA". It matches the Rfam family "Bacterial small subunit ribosomal RNA", at positions 71 to 680 of the family's 1533-position model. The record is from RNAcentral. Lineage: Bacteria; Pseudomonadati; Verrucomicrobiota.
UCGUUGUAGCAAUACGAUGGAAAGUUUAGUGGCGAACGGGUGCUUAACACGUGGGCAACCUGCCAGGAAGUGGGGGAUAGCUCGCCGAAAGGCGAAUUAAUACCGCAUGUGAUUAGAGAGGACAUCCUUUCAAAAUUAAAGUCGGGGCAACCUGACGCUUCUUGUGGGGCCCGCGGCCUAUCAGCUAGUUGGUGAGGUAACGGCCCACCAAGGCUUUGACGGGUAGCUGGUCUGAGAGGACGACCAGCCACACUGGGACUGAGACACGGCCCAGACACCUACGGGUGGCAGCAGUCGAGAAUUUUUGACAAUGGGGGAAACCCUGAUCGAGCGACGCCGCGUGGAGGAUGAAGGUCUUCGGAUUGUAAACUCCUGUCAUUGGGGAACAAUGCACAGAUAUUAACUGUAUUUGUGUUGAUAGUACCCGAAGAGGAAGAGACGGCUAACUCUGUGCCAGCAGCCGCGGUAAUACAGAGGUCUCAAGCGUUGUUCGGAUUCAUUGGGCGUAAAGGGUGCGUAGGCGGCGCGGUAAGUCGGGUGUGAAAUCUCGGAGCUUAACUCCGAAACUGCAUUCGAUACUGCCGUGCUUGAGGACUGGAGAGGAGACUGGAAUUCACGGUGUAGCA